CAUCAGACACAUACAGAGAAAAAAUGUCGACACUGAGAGAAAAAAUCAAUCAGAGAAGAAAAUCAGAGAGUAGCUUAAAAAGAAAGAAGAAAAUCAAGUUUGGUUUCUGUUUGAGUUUUUGGUGGUAGUAUCUCAUUGCUUGUUUUCGCUAAAUCCACACUGCAGGUGAAGCUGCUUUGAUAGGACCAGAUUCAGUAUUUGAAGCCAUGGAAAAAGUUCAGUUUAUAAGGGAGAUGGUGAGGACAUCCCAAAGCCGUCAGCAAGGUUCGGACACACAGUUUCCCGAUCGCAGUUAGACAACGUAGAGUAAUACAAUAGUUGUAGUGGUGAGUCCUCAUCUAUCAAGGACAUAUUAUUUUUAUUCAUUUAUUUCAGUAUUUCAUUUUAUUCAGUCAGUCGCAGUUAGUUGGGGGUCUAUCCCAUCAACUCAGUCAGU
This is a long non-coding RNA of Capsicum annuum, 436 nucleotides long. RefSeq lists it as uncharacterized. The transcript has 3 exons. The record is from RefSeq and is a predicted model, not a curated record. NCBI's taxonomy places the organism in Eukaryota, Viridiplantae, Streptophyta, Magnoliopsida, Solanales, Solanaceae.